UGACCGGCCACACUGGGACUGAGACACGGCCCAGACUCCUACGGGAGGCAGCAGUGGGGAAUAUUGCACAAUGGGCGCAAGCCUGAUGCAGCGACGCCGCGUGAGGGAUGACGGCCUUCGGGUUGUAAACCUCUUUCAGUAGGGAAGAAGCGAAAGUGACGGUACCUGCAGAAGAAGCGCCGGCUAACUACGUGCCAGCAGCCGCGGUAAUACGUAGGGCGCAAGCGUUAUCCGGAAUUAUUGGGCGUAAAGAGCUCGUAGGCGGUUUGUCGCGUCUGCCGUGAAAGUCCGGGGCUCAACUCCGGAUCUGCGGUGGGUACGGGCAGACUAGAGUGAUGUAGGGGAGACUGGAAUUCCUGGUGUAGCGGUGAAAUGCGCAGAUAUCAGGAGGAACACCGAUGGCGAAGGCAGGUCUCUGGGCAUUAACUGACGCUGAGGAGCGAAAGCAUGGGGAGCGAACAGGAUUAGAUACCCUGGUAGUCCAUGCCGUAAACGUUGGGCACUAGGUGUGGGGGACAUUCCACGUUUUCCGCGCCGUAGCUAACGCAUUAAGUGCCCCGCCUGGGGAGUACGGCCGCAAGGCUAAAACUCAAAGGAAUUGACGGGGGCCCGCACAAGCGGCGGAGCAUGCGGAUUAAUUCGAUGCAACGCGAAGAACCUUACCAAGGCUUGACAUGAACCGGUAACGCCUGGAGACAGGUGCCCCGCUUGCGGUCGGUUUACAGGUGGUGCAUGGUUGUCGUCAGCUCGUGUCGUGAGAUGUUGGGUUAAGUCCCGCAACGAGCGCAACCCUCGUUCUAUGUUGCCAGCACGUGAUGGUGGGGACUCAUAGGAGACUGCCGGGGUCAACUCGGAGGAAGGUGGGGACGACGUCAAAUCAUCAUGCCCCUUAUGUCUUGGGCUUCACGCAUGCUACAAUGGCCGGUACAAAGGGUUGCGAUACUGUGAGGUGGAGCUAAUCCCAAAAAGCCGGUCUCAGUUCGGAUUGGGGUCUGCAACUCGACCCCAUGAAGUCGGAGUCGCUAGUAAUCGCAGAUCAGCAACGCUGC
Molecule: ribosomal RNA, 1049 nt
Filed under: Arthrobacter sp. Kh003
Lineage: Bacteria; Bacillati; Actinomycetota; Actinomycetes; Micrococcales; Micrococcaceae
Description: bacterial SSU rRNA
Rfam family: Bacterial small subunit ribosomal RNA
Source: RNAcentral